GCGGAUAUAGUUUAGUGGUAGAAUGUGACCUUCCCAAGGUUGAGAUGCGGGUUCGAUUCCCGCUAUCCGCACCA
Molecule: transfer RNA, 74 nt
Filed under: Candidatus Saccharibacteria bacterium RIFCSPHIGHO2_01_FULL_49_21
Lineage: Bacteria; Candidatus Saccharimonadota
Also listed under: 2 other names
Description: tRNA-Gly
Rfam family: tRNA
About the family: Transfer RNA (tRNA) molecules are approximately 80 nucleotides in length.
Source: RNAcentral